This 271-nucleotide ribosomal RNA is filed under the name uncultured bacterium. RNAcentral's name for it is "partial 16S ribosomal RNA". It matches the Rfam family "Bacterial small subunit ribosomal RNA", at positions 524 to 794 of the family's 1533-position model. The record is from RNAcentral.
UACGUAGGUGGCAAGCGUUGUCCGGAGUUAUUGGGCGUAAAGCGCGCGCAGGCGGUUCCUUAAGUCUGAUGUGAAAUCUCGCGGCUCAACCGCGAGCGGCCAUUGGAAACUGGGGAACUUGAGUGCAGGAGAGGGGAGCGGAAUUCCACGUGUAGCGGUGAAAUGCGUAGAGAUGUGGAGGAACACCAGUGGCGAAGGCGGCUCUCUGGCCUGUAACUGACGCUGAAGCGCGAAGGCGUGGGGAGCGAACAGGAUUAGAAACCCGGGUAGU